RNAcentral lists this ribosomal RNA (824 nucleotides) under Escherichia coli. Its description in RNAcentral is "partial 23S ribosomal RNA". It matches the Rfam family "Bacterial large subunit ribosomal RNA", at positions 419 to 1243 of the family's 2925-position model. The record is from RNAcentral. Lineage: Bacteria; Pseudomonadati; Pseudomonadota; Gammaproteobacteria; Enterobacterales; Enterobacteriaceae.
GGGACACGUGGUAUCCUGUCUGAAUAUGGGGGGACCAUCCUCCAAGGCUAAAUACUCCUGACUGACCGAUAGUGAACCAGUACCGUGAGGGAAAGGCGAAAAGAACCCCGGCGAGGGGAGUGAAAAAGAACCUGAAACCGUGUACGUACAAGCAGUGGGAGCACGCUUAGGCGUGUGACUGCGUACCUUUUGUAUAAUGGGUCAGCGACUUAUAUUCUGUAGCAAGGUUAACCGAAUAGGGGAGCCGAAGGGAAACCGAGUCUUAACUGGGCGUUAAGUUGCAGGGUAUAGACCCGAAACCCGGUGAUCUAGCCAUGGGCAGGUUGAAGGUUGGGUAACACUAACUGGAGGACCGAACCGACUAAUGUUGAAAAAUUAGCGGAUGACUUGUGGCUGGGGGUGAAAGGCCAAUCAAACCGGGAGAUAGCUGGUUCUCCCCGAAAGCUAUUUAGGUAGCGCCUCGUGAAUUCAUCUCCGGGGGUAGAGCACUGUUUCGGCAAGGGGGUCAUCCCGACUUACCAACCCGAUGCAAACUGCGAAUACCGGAGAAUGUUAUCACGGGAGACACACGGCGGGUGCUAACGUCCGUCGUGAAGAGGGAAACAACCCAGACCGCCAGCUAAGGUCCCAAAGUCAUGGUUAAGUGGGAAACGAUGUGGGAAGGCCCAGACAGCCAGGAUGUUGGCUUAGAAGCAGCCAUCAUUUAAAGAAAGCGUAAUAGCUCACUGGUCGAGUCGGCCUGCGCGGAAGAUGUAACGGGGCUAAACCAUGCACCGAAGCUGCGGCAGCGACGCUUAUGCGUUGUUGGGUAGGGGAGCGUUCUG